CCCUUAGAUGUCCUGGGCUGCACGCGCGCUACACUGGAAGUUACGGAUUGAGAUACUACCUUGUCCGAAAUGGUCCGGGUAAUCACCUAAAAGCUUGUCAUAAUUGGAAUGGAUUAUUGUAACUAGUAAUCCUGAACGAGGAAUUCCUAGUAAGUCCCAGUCAACAGCUGGUACUGAUUACGUCCCUGCCCUUUGUACACACCGCCCGUCGCUACUACUGAUUGGACGUUUAAGCAAGAUUUUUAAACACUGACAGUGCGUAGUUCACGCUAUACUACAGUGAGAAGAAGAAGAUCGAGCUUACUUGUCUAGAGGAAGUAAAAGUCGUAACA
Molecule: ribosomal RNA, 332 nt
Filed under: uncultured eukaryote
Lineage: Eukaryota
Description: partial 18S ribosomal RNA
Rfam family: Eukaryotic small subunit ribosomal RNA
Source: RNAcentral